Long non-coding RNA from Alosa sapidissima (American shad), 467 nucleotides. RefSeq lists it as uncharacterized. The transcript has 4 exons. Lineage: Eukaryota; Metazoa; Chordata; Actinopteri; Clupeiformes; Clupeidae. The record is from RefSeq and is a predicted model, not a curated record.
CGCGAAAGUUCACCAUUGGCAGCAGGUUGCACAGUGCAUGCAGCUAGGUGUCAACUGUCUCUACAACGAAGUGCAUCGAUCAUGGAUCACAUUGGUGGAGAACUUUGUGUGAACUUGAAGAUAUGAGCCAUCCGACCUAUCCUCCAACACGGAUCACAAUGAUGGAGAAAAGGUUGAAAUCCAUCAUCACAGCUUCCAGGACACAGAAGAAUAACAUGUGAUCCCUUGUUGCCAGUGGGAAAAAUAGUUCUGUUGAACACUAAGAUGAGACGCCAUGCUAUCUGGCUCUCCUGCACCCUCUCCACUGUCCCUCAAGACUGAUGGGUGAAGAAUAAACAUGAGAGUAUAAGUUUCAUGCCUGGGUGGCAUAUGUUAGGCUGCAUACCGUGGCAGAGUGACGAACUGGAGCUCCUCUGAGGCUGCCCGCCCUGGACAGGAGCUACAGGCCCACUCCAGCUCUGUUGUCU